CAAGGUUGAAACUCAAAGGAAUUGACGGGGGCCCGCACAAGCGGUGGAGUAUGUGGUUUAAUUCGACGCAACGCGAAGAACCUUNCCAGGUCUUGACAUUGAUGGNCNNNACUAGAGAUAGUUCCUCUUCUUCGGAAGCCAGAAAACAGGUGGUGCACGGUUGUCGUCAGCUCGUGUCGUGAGAUGUUGGGUUAAGUCCCGCAACGAGCGCAACCCCUAUCUUAUGUUGCCAGCACUUCGGGUGGGAACUCAUGAGAGACUGCCGCAGACAAUGCGGAGGAAGGCGGGGAUGACGUCAAAUCAUCAUGCCCCUUAUGACCUGGGCUACACACGUACUACAAUGGGAGUUAAUAGACGGAAGCGAAACCGCGAGGUGGAGCAAACCCGAGAAACACUCUCUCAGUUCGGAUCGUAGGCUGCAACUCGCCUACGUGAAGUCGGAAUCGCUAGUAAUCGCAGGUCAGCAUACUGCGGUGAAUACGUUCCCGGGCCUUGUACACACCGCCCGUCACACCACGAAAGUCGGAAGUGCCCAAAGCCGGUGGGGUAACCUUCGGGAGCCA
RNAcentral lists this ribosomal RNA (563 nucleotides) under uncultured bacterium. RNAcentral's name for it is "bacterial SSU rRNA". It matches the Rfam family "Bacterial small subunit ribosomal RNA", at positions 889 to 1451 of the family's 1533-position model. The record is from RNAcentral.